RNA transcript from Arachis stenosperma, 2437 nucleotides. RefSeq lists it as uncharacterized. The transcript is spliced from 3 exons. The record is from RefSeq and is a predicted model, not a curated record. NCBI's taxonomy places the organism in Eukaryota, Viridiplantae, Streptophyta, Magnoliopsida, Fabales, Fabaceae.
CAGCUUCUCUCUUUACUGUAGCAUUGUUUUGUUUCUUUCAGAGGCAAGGUUCUUGAACUAGAAUCCUAGAUUGCCGAUUCUAAUAUUUAUUGGACUGGAGAAUCAUCUUUCGACACAAUGGUGAUGUUGAUAUAGUGGAGGUGGAAUUUGCCGAUGGUCGUGUAUUCAAGUUGUUGGCUGAGUUUCUAAGAAUAAUCAGUCCUGCAGUUGAUGGAAAAAUUAGAUCAAUUGGAGGUAAUAUCAGGGAGACGGCACGUAGGAAUCAUGUAUGCAGAACCGGUAGUGAACUAUGGGAUAAGGUACAUCAAACUUAGACAUUAGAUCUAAAUUUCAGUAUCUAAAUCCCUCAAACUGAAAUGUGAUGCAUAGUUGUUGAAUUGGAUUGUUCAAGCUUAAUUUUGAUGACUUGCACAAAACCGGAAGAUAUUCGUGGGAUUAUUUCUAUCACCUGGGAAGUAACAAGUUUACCCUCAUGAGAAAUUACAUCAAAACAUUUAAGAAAUAUGGGCUAAGCCGGGAUCCACGUAGAAAAAAAUGAUGCAGGCAUCCGCUUCUUGAUUGGCCAAAACUGGUUUGAAAUUGUGUCAGUUGACAUCAUGAAACUUGUGCUUGUCGUUGGAUAGCUUCAUCUGUUGAAAUUGAAAAACUGAAUUUUGUGAGUUGGAGAAUAGUGUUUCAAUGAAGUAUUCACUAAUUAUCAAAGGAUGAAAGAAAUAAAGGAGUGUUUUUCUUGACCUUUUUCUUUUCUCCCAUUACAAUUAUUUGCUAGAGUCAUCUGAACCAUGCCAAAAUCCCUAUAGCGUUCAUGUUUCUUAUUCUGCAUGACUAUUUCCGUAAAAUUGUUGUUAUAAUCUGUGUCAAAAAAAAACCAAUUAAACCAAUAAAAAAAACAAUUAAACCAAUAAUUAUUACACAAAGAUGAAGGUGGAGAGUUUAAUGAAUUUUCAAAUCCAAAAAGAAUUCAUGAUAAGUAAUGCAUUUUCUGUACUGCCAUAAAAGAAAAAUAAGAACACAUAUUAUUUGCUCAUUAGAAUAUCUUCCAUGCUAGUUCUAGUUUUUUAUUUUAAAUCUUACAAGAUGACACAUAAACAUUUGUAAGAUCAUAUAUCAUAAAUAGUAGAUUUAAAAUUAAAAGUAAAAUUUGUCGUUCUAAUACUUUAUCUUAAGGUGGAUACUCCCAUGAUGACAUCUUCACAUGAAAAUAGCAUUGUGGACCAUUAGAUGAGUUGAUAUGUUUUACUAUAUAUUUGAUUAACCAUCUAAGGGUUUACAAUGUCAUCUUCAUAUAAAGAUAUCAUCAUGUGAGUAUUCCCCUUAUCUCAAUUCAAUUAGAAUUUUAUAUUAUGAGCAAAUAGUCAUUUUUGACCAUGAAAAAUUGAAGCGUUGUCCAUGUUAGUUAUGAUUCUAGGUGGUUGUCAACUGUCCAACGUGGUAGGUAAUGAUCCAACAUGUCAAUACUUUGUUUUAAUUUAAAAAUUAAAUAAUUAUAAGUGGAAUUUACAUAUUUAACCUAAGAAGAGAAAGCUUUAAAACAUAAGACUUAGGGGAAGAGUGGUUACAUGCAAAGAGAAGAGAGAGCUUCCCAACAAUAGCGAUUUCCAUUCCAAUCAAUCUAACGGAGUUGUCGUUUUGAACCGUCAUUCGUCAUUUUGCAAGUCGGGUUUAUGCAGUCGUCAGAGGCCACUUGUGAGAAGGGAGAACAAUUGCAGGGGAGCAAGAGCCACUGAUGGAGGAGACAACACUUGUGAUUAUGUAAGAUAAGGUCUGAAAUUUCAUUCUCACUUGAUUAUGUAGUUCGUUUGAGUGAUUUUCUACAUACUCUUCAUCUAUGCAUGUAAUCGGGGUUAGGAUUUGCAUUGUUAUUGUUCCUGAUCCUCAUUGCUGUACAUUUUUUUGUCUACUUUUAGUUUGUAAUUAACGGCAUAAAACACCUCCUGUUGACCUUAUUCUCAUUCUUUCUCUUCACAAUUGAAUUUCUAUCGACACUGAAACUCGCAUAUGAUGCAGGUGAGUUCGUCAUUUAGCACCUUGACAUUUUCUCUUCAAAAUUAUCUAUGGUCUCUCUUUAAUCUUCUAUCUUUCUGUCUUCACAAAUUGGAGCUUAGGGUUUAAUUUGGGUGAAGAAAAUGAGAAGAAGAAAGAGUUCUUUCGAAGAAGGAAUGAAUAGGGAGAAGGUUUGUAUGACAUUAUUAACAUCAUCUGCCACGUUGACACUUGACAGUUACCAUGGAUCAAAACUAAUGCCCUCUCUCACUAGUUUAAUAUUUGGUUAGAAAUGUUUGCGUAGAUAGACGUCGAUGGUGACAACUUUUUAUAUCUAUAACAAUAUAUAAUACCAAUACAUGAGCUUGGUGUCCAACAUUCUUUUCCAAUUUUGCCCUCCCUAAUAAUCUAUCCACUAUAUCUCAGUUAUUCCAUGUUAAAAAAAUUUCCACUA